CCGGCGCACGGGUGAGUAACACGUAUCCAACCUGCCGUCUACUCUUGGCCAGCCUUCUGAAAGGAAGAUUAAUCCAGGAUGGCAUCAUGAGUUCACGUGUCCGCAUGAUUAAAGGUAUUUUCCGGUAGACGAUGGGGAUGCGUUCCAUUAGAUAGUAGGCGGGGUAACGGCCCACCUAGUCAACGAUGGAUAGGGGUUCUGAGAGGAAGGUCCCCCACAUUGGAACUGAGACACGGUCCAA
This 241-nucleotide ribosomal RNA is filed under the name uncultured bacterium. Its description in RNAcentral is "partial 16S ribosomal RNA". It matches the Rfam family "Bacterial small subunit ribosomal RNA", at positions 95 to 334 of the family's 1533-position model. The record is from RNAcentral.